AUUGAACGCUGGCGGCAGGCCUAACACAUGCAAGUCGAGCGGAGCGGCGGACGGGUGCGUAAUGACUAGGAAUCUGCCUGUUAGUGGGGGAUAACGUCCGGAACUGGGCGCUAUUGCCGAAUACUAUCAGCAGAGCAUAGGUCGGAUUAGCUAGUUGGUGGGGGAGAGGCCUACCAAGGCGACGAUCCGGAACUGGGCUGAGAGGAUGAUCAGUCACACUGGAACUGAGACACGGUCCAGACUCCUACGGGAGGCAGCAGUGGGGAAUAUUGGACAAUGGGCGAAAGCCUGAUGCAGCCAUGCCGCGUGUGUGAAGAAGGUCUUCGGGUUGUAAAGUACUUUCAGUUGGGAGGCGUUACCGACAGAAGAAGCACCGGCUAACUUCGUGCCAGCAGCCGCGGUAAUUC
RNAcentral lists this ribosomal RNA (407 nucleotides) under uncultured bacterium. Its description in RNAcentral is "partial 16S ribosomal RNA". It matches the Rfam family "Bacterial small subunit ribosomal RNA", at positions 30 to 526 of the family's 1533-position model. The record is from RNAcentral.